Molecule: non-coding RNA, 92 nt
Filed under: Roseibium album
Lineage: Bacteria; Pseudomonadati; Pseudomonadota; Alphaproteobacteria; Hyphomicrobiales; Stappiaceae
Also listed under: 1 other name
Description: Labrenzia alba Glycine sequence
Rfam family: Glycine riboswitch aptamer
About the family: This family represents the bacterial glycine riboswitch. Glycine riboswitches usually consist of two metabolite-binding aptamers domains with similar structures in tandem. The aptamers cooperatively bind glycine to regulate the expression of downstream genes.
Source: Rfam by way of RNAcentral
GUGCCCCACGCGGGAGAGCCCGGGUCAAAUGACCCGGCGCCGAAGGAGCAACCGCCCCGGAAACUCUCAGGCAAAAGGACCGCAUGGGGAAC